GGCGAAGUCACUGAUACCACGCUUCCAGGAAAAGCUCCUAAGCUUCAGCUUACGCAGACCGUACCGUAAACCGACACAGGUGGGUAGGAUGAGAAUUCUCAGGCGCUUGAGAGAACUCGGGUGAAGGAACUAGGCAACAUGGCACCGUAACUUCGGGAGAAGGUGCACCCUUUUUGGUGGCUCGUGCGAGCUAUAGCUGAAGAGGGUCGCAGUAACCAGGCCGCUGCGACUGUUUAUCAAAAACACAGCACUCUGCAAACACGAAAGUGGACGUAUAGGGUGUGACGCCUGCCCGGUGCUGGAAGGUUAAUUGAUGGGGUCAGCCGCAAGGCGAAGCUCUUGAUCGAAGCCCCAGUAAACGGCGGCCGUAACUAUAACGGUCCUAAGGUAGCGAAAUUCCUUGUCGGGUAAGUUCCGACCUGCACGAAUGGCGUAACGACAGCGGCGCUGUCUCCACCCGAGACUCAGUGAAAUUGAAAUCGCUGUGAAGAUGCAGCGUUCCCGUGGCAAGACGGAAAGACCCCGUGAACCUUUACUAUAGCUUUACACUGAACGUUGAGUUCGUCUGUGUAGGAUAGGUGGGAGGCUAUGAAACUGUGGCGCUAGCUGCAGCGGAGCCAUCCUUGAAAUACCACCCUGUCGUGCUUGACGUUCUAACCUGGGCCCAUUAUCUGGGUCGGGGACCGUGUAUGGUGGGUAGUUUGACUGGGGCGGUCUCCUCCUAAAGAGUAACGGAGGAGCUCGAAGGUACGCUCAGCGCGGUCGGACAUCGCGCACUGUGUGCAAAGGCAUAAGCGUGCUUGACUGCAAGAUCGACGGAUCAAGCAGGUAGGAAACUAGGACUUAGUGAUCCGGUGGUUCUGUAUGGAAGGGCCAUCGCUCAACGGAUAAAAGGUACUCCGGGGAUAACAGGCUGAUACCGCCCAAGAGUUCAUAUCGACGGCGGUGUUUGGCACCUCGAUGUCGGCUCAUCACAUCCUGGGGCUGUAGUCGGUCCCAAGGGUAUGGCUGUUCGCCAUUUAAAGUGGUACGCGAGCUGGGUUCAGAACGUCGUGAGACAGUUCGGUCCCUAUCUGCCAUGGGCGUUGGAGAUUUGAGAGGGGCUGCUCCUAGUACGAGAGGACCGGAGUGGACGAACCUCUGGUGUUCCGGUUGUCACGCCAGUGGCAUUGCCGGGUAGCUAUGUUCGGAAGCGAUAACCGCUGAAAGCAUCUAAGCGGGAAGCGCGCCUCAAGAUGAGAUCUCCCGGGGCACAAGCCCCCUGAAGGAACCAUGUAGACUACGUGGUUGAUAGGUCAGGUGUGUAAGUACAGCAAUGUAUUGAGCUAACUGAUACUAAUGAUCCG
RNAcentral lists this ribosomal RNA (1346 nucleotides) under Stenotrophomonas sp. CC120223-11. Its description in RNAcentral is "bacterial LSU rRNA". It matches the Rfam family "Bacterial large subunit ribosomal RNA", at positions 1584 to 2911 of the family's 2925-position model. The record is from RNAcentral. Lineage: Bacteria; Pseudomonadati; Pseudomonadota; Gammaproteobacteria; Lysobacterales; Lysobacteraceae.